Molecule: unclassified non-coding RNA, 1906 nt
Filed under: Leishmania donovani
Lineage: Eukaryota; Euglenozoa; Kinetoplastea; Trypanosomatida; Trypanosomatidae
Description: gene:LdHU3.21.1090(CDS-product:hypothetical_prote in_conserved)
Source: RNAcentral
GUUGCGGCGGGCUGCUUGCCUUGUCCAGGCUUCUCCUUGCUUCUCUGUUUUCUCGUCCCUUACCGCGGCCCCAUCGCUGACUCACCGCUGCCUGUGCACGGCGAGUAGGUAAGGUGGAAAAAAAACGCGCGCGCGGCCGCGGCAGCUGUUUACGCGCAAGCGUAGCGAAGCGAAGCAGCAUUCAGCAGUGAGACGGUUGGCAGCGCAUAAUAGGUUUGCUUGAAAAGCGUAGCUGCCCACCUCCUUCCCGCUUCUGUCUCCUCUCAUAGCCAGCAGCGACUUGCCCCCCCCCCCCCUUCCCCCAAACAACAGCAGCAGCAGCAACGUUGCGCCCUCCCUCCUCCUGCUCUCUUUCUCUUGCUCUGCACGACGACGUAGCAGAUGAAGUCGUCCGAUAUCUUUCACGCGUGCAAGUACACGCCCAUCUUGCUCAAGAGCCGUACGAACGACAGCGGCGUCAACCAAUACGGCCUGAGGCCCGUCAACUCCUACGACUACCUGAAUCCGACAAACUUGGUAAACUUCGGGCGCGGCACCGCCUUCGACAACCUCGGUGUGCGCCGCUCUGAGCGAGGCCAGAUCGACUCGGCCCCCUCGCUCGGCGGUUCGCCCGUGUUCACGCAGGCAAAGCUGCUAGGACUGAGCGGUGACGACCAGCUCCGCCUCUGCGAGGCGGAGACCACGCAGCUGCGGAUGUGCAUGGCGAAGGGCGGCAGCACCUGCGAGCGCGAGAGUCUUCUGCUGGACGCGUGCCUCUCCAAGGUUGGCCACUUGCGCCGUGCCAUUAGCCAAGCCGGCUCCGAGUUCAACGACUGGUUUAUUCAGAACGUAUCGGACAACCACACCAAGCCGUUUCAACAUCGCCCCCACGACUGGCGGCACUACUACGCACAGGAGAAGCUCGUGCGUGAGAAGCAGCAGAACGGGCACGCGUACGGGCGGAGACCGAAGGAGUUCUCUUUCGGUGCUCGCUAUGUCAAGACGGAGGGCUACGGCAAGCGACCGCGCCUGCCGUACAACAAGUGAGCUACGCGAUACAGGAGGCAUGGCAGGUAAUGGACUGUUUCACUGUGUACGUAUACGUGUCGGGGUGCGCACAACGAGGGACCGCGUAGGCAGCGACGCUAGUGCAUGUGUUCUGUGUUGUUUGUGCCUUGCUCGCUCGCAUGCCCUUCCCCCUCCCUCCCUCCCUCCCUUCCACGACUGCAUCGCCCUCUGCCUCUUUCGAAGACGCACCGGCACACGCUCGCUGACAAGCACCGGUGCACCCGCUCGUCAAGCACGUUGCCAAGCCGCAGUCAAAGAUGCAGACGAAAGCACAAACACAGGUACGUGCACCUACUUUCCCGCGUGCAGUCAGAGGCACGCGCCGUUAUCGAGGCACGCAGGUGUGUGUGUGUGUGUGCGAUGCUGAUCGUGGCGGCUCUUUAGUGAACUCCUCUGUCCCACCUCUUCCAGCCUCUUUACUCGGCACUGCUGCCUCACCCCCCCCCCCCCCCCCACCACCACCAACACCGUCGCCUGGCCAAGGCAAAGAUUCCUUGGUCUUUCGCCGCCAGUUUCACUCGCCCAGCCAUGCCUCUGGACGGAUCGGUGGCUAACGCAGCAGCGACGGUGAGGAGCAGUGGGCAAGAGUACAGUCGAUGAAUGAACCGGUGGGCGUGCAAGCGGGCGUGUGUACCUCUGUACAUUGCGUAGUAUUCGCUGCACUCCGAACUUGCCGAUUUCCGCCGCAACCUUUUCUGUGAAGACGAACGGGCAGCCUUCCACGCGACGCGAUGCUGAUGCACCUUCUCUCCUGCUCUCCCUCUAUUGCCAUCGGUGCCCUGCCCUCCGCCUCGCUGCAUCGAAUCAUUUCGCUAAACACGCACACACACGCGUACACGCACACAUCGGAACUGAUCAG